Molecule: ribosomal RNA, 484 nt
Filed under: uncultured bacterium
Lineage: Bacteria
Description: partial 16S ribosomal RNA
Rfam family: Bacterial small subunit ribosomal RNA
Source: RNAcentral
AUUGAACGCUGGCGGCAGGCCUAACACAUGCAAGUCGAGCGGAUGAAGGGAGCUUGCUCCUGGAUUCAGCUGCGGACGGGUGAGUAAUUCCUAGGAAUCUGCCUGGCAGUGGGGGAUAACGUCCGGAAACGGGCGCUAAUACCGCAUACGUCCUGAGGGAGAAAGUGGGGGAUCUUUGGUCCUCACGCUAUCUGAUGAGCCUAGGUCGUAUUAGCUAGUUGGUGGGGUAACGGCCUACCAAGGCGACGAUCCGUAACUGGUCUGAGAGGAUGAUCAGUCACACUGGAACUGAGACACGGUCCAGACUCCUACGGGAGGCAGCAGUAGGGAAUAUUGGACAAUGGGCGAAAGCCUGAUCCAGCAAUGCCGCGUGAGUGAAGAAGGUCUUCGGAUCGUAAAGCACUGUAAUUUGGGAGGAAGAACAGUAAGUUAAUACCUUGCUGUUUUGACGGUACCUACAGAGAAAGCAACGGCUAACUUCGUG